Molecule: ribosomal RNA, 1028 nt
Filed under: Cordyceps roseostromata
Lineage: Eukaryota; Fungi; Ascomycota; Sordariomycetes; Hypocreales; Cordycipitaceae
Description: SSU rRNA
Rfam family: Eukaryotic small subunit ribosomal RNA
Source: RNAcentral
UACAGCGAAACUGCGAAUGGCUCAUUAUAUAAGUUAUCGUUUAUUUGAUAGUACCUUACUACUUGGAUAACCGUGGUAAUUCUAGAGCUAAUACAUGCUAAAAAUCCCGACUUCGGAAGGGAUGUAUUUAUUAGAUUAAAAACCAAUGCCCUCUGGGCUCCUUGGUGAUUCAUAAUAACUUUUCGAAUCGCACGGCCUUGCGCCGGCGAUGGUUCAUUCAAAUUUCUUCCCUAUCAACUUUCGAUGUUUGGGUCUUGGCCAAACAUGGUCGCAACGGGUAACGGAGGGUUAGGGCUCGACCCCGGAGAAGGAGCCUGAGAAACGGCUACUACAUCCAAGGAAGGCAGCAGGCGCGCAAAUUACCCAAUCCCGAUUCGGGGAGGUAGUGACAAUAAAUACUGAUACAGGGCUCUUUUGGGUCUUGUAAUUGGAAUGAGUACAAUUUAAAUCUCUUAACGAGGAACAAUUGGAGGGCAAGUCUGGUGCCAGCAGCCGCGGUAAUUCCAGCUCCAAUAGCCGUAUAUUAAAGUUGUUGUGGUUAAAAAGCUCGUAGUUGAACCUUGGGCCUGGCUGGCCGGUCCGCCUCACCGCGUGCACUGGUCCGGCCGGGCCUUUCCCUCUGUGGAACCCCAUGCUCUUCACUGAGUGUGGCGGUGAAACAGGACUUUUACUUUGAAAAAAUUAGAGUGCUCCAGGCAGGCCUAUGCUCGAAUACAUUAGCAUGGAAUAAUAAAAUAGGACGCGUGGUUCUAUUUUGUUGGUUUCUAGGACCGCCGUAAUGAUUAAUAGGGACAGUCGGGGGCAUCAGUAUUCAAUUGUCAGAGGUGAAAUUCUUGGAUUUAUUGAAGACUAACUACUGCGAAAGCAUUUGCCAAGGAUGUUUUCAUUAAUCAGGAACGAAAGUUAGGGGAUCGAAGACGAUCAGAUACCGUCGUAGUCUUAACCAUAAACUAUGCCGACUAGGGAUCGGACGAUGUUAUUUUUUGACGCGUUCGGCACCUUACGAGAAAUCAAAGUGCUUGGGCUCC